GGUAACCUGCCCUUAAGUGGGGGAUAACAUUUGGAAACAGAUGCUAAUACCGCAUAGAUCCAAGAACCGCAUGGUUCUUGGCUGAAAGAUGGCGUAAGCUAUCGCUUUUGGAUGGACCCGCGGCGUAUUAGCUAGUUGGUGAGGUAAUGGCUCACCAAGGCGAUGAUACGUAGCCGAACUGAGAGGUUGAUCGGCCACAUUGGGACUGAGACACGGCCCAAACUCCUACGGGAGGCAGCAGUAGGGAAUCUUCCACAAUGGACGCAAGUCUGAUGGAGCAACGCCGCGUGAGUGAAGAAGGCUUUCGGGUCGUAAAACUCUGUUGUUGGAGAAGAAUGGUCGGCAGAGUAACUGUUGUCGGCGUGACGGUAUCCAACCAGAAAGCCACGGCUAAUUACGUGCCAGCAGCCGCGGUAAUACGUAGGUGGCAAGCGUUAUCCGGAUUUAUUGGGCGUAAAGCGAGCGCAGGCGGUUUUUUAAGUCUGAUGUGAAAGCCCUCGGCUUAACCGAGGAAGCGCAUCGGAAACUGGGAAACUUGAGUGCAGAAGAGGACAGUGGAACUCCAUGUGUAGCGGUGAAAUGCGUAGAUAUAUGGAAGAACACCAGUGGCGAAGGCGGCUGUCUGGUCUGUAACUGACGCUGAGGCUCGAAAGCAUGGGUAGCGAACAGGAUUAGAUACCCUGGUAGUCCAUGCCGUAAACGAUGAAUGCUAGGUGUUGGAGGGUUUCCGCCCUUCAGUGCCGCAGCUAACGCAUUAAGCAUUCCGCCUGGGGAGUACGACCGCAAGGUUGAAACUCAAAGGAAUUGACGGGGGCCCGCACAAGCGGUGGAGCAUGUGGUUUAAUUCGAAGCAACGCGAAGAACCUUACCAGGUCUUGACAUCUUUUGAUCACCUGAGAGAUCAGGUUUCCCCUUCGGGGGCAAAAUGACAGGUGGUGCAUGGUUGUCGUCAGCUCGUGUCGUGAGAUGUUGGGUUAAGUCCCGCAACGAGCGCAACCCUUAUGACUAGUUGCCAGCAUUUAGUUGGGCACUCUAGUAAGACUGCCGGUGACAAACCGGAGGAAGGUGGGGAUGACGUCAAAUCAUCAUGCCCCUUAUGACCUGGGCUACACACGUGCUACAAUGGAUGGUACAACGAGUUGCGAGACCGCGAGGUCAAGCUAAUCUCUUAAAGCCAUUCUCAGUUCGGACUGUAGGCUGCAACUCGCCUACACGAAGUCGGAAUCGCUAGUAAUCGCGGAUCAGCACGCCGCGGUGAAUACGUUCCCGGGCC
This 1273-nucleotide ribosomal RNA is filed under the name Lacticaseibacillus casei. Its description in RNAcentral is "bacterial SSU rRNA". It matches the Rfam family "Bacterial small subunit ribosomal RNA", at positions 120 to 1380 of the family's 1533-position model. The record is from RNAcentral. Lineage: Bacteria; Bacillati; Bacillota; Bacilli; Lactobacillales; Lactobacillaceae.